GAUGAACGCUAGCUACAGGCUUAACACAUGCAAGUCGAGGGGCAGCAUGGUCUUAGCUUGCUAAGGCCGAUGGCGACCGGCGCACGGGUGAGUAACACGUAUCCAACCUGCCGUCUACUCUUGGACAGCCUUCUGAAAGGAAGAUUAAUACAAGAUGGCAUCAUGAGUCCGCAUGUUCACAUGAUUAAAGGUAUUCCGGUAGACGAUGGGGAUGCGUUCCAUUAGAUAGUAGGCGGGGUAACGGCCCACCUAGUCUUCGAUGGAUAGGGGUUCUGAGAGGAAGGUCCCCCACAUUGGAACUGAGACACGGUCCAAACUCCUACGGGAGGCAGCAGUGAGGAAUAUUGGUCAUGGGCGAGAGCCUGAACCAGCCAAGUAGCGUGAAGGAUGACUGCCCUAUGGGUUGUAAACUUCUUUUAUAAAGGAAUAAAGUCGGGUAUGCAUACCCGUUUGCAUGUACUUUAUGAAUAAGGAUCGGCUAACUCCGUGCCAGCAGCCGCGGUAAUACGGAGGAUCCGAGCGUUAUCCGGAUUUAUUGGGUUUAAAGGGAGCGUAGAUGGAUGUUUAAGUCAGUUGUGAAAGUUUGCGGCUCAACCGUAAAAUUGCAGUUGAUACUGGAUAUCUUGAGUGUAGUUGAGGCAGGCGGAAUUCGUGGUGUAGCGGUGAAAUGCUUAGAUAUCACGAAGAACUCCGAUUGCGAAGGCAGCCUGCUAAGCUGCAACUGACAUUGAGGCUCGAAAGUGUGGGUAUCAAACAGG
This 758-nucleotide ribosomal RNA is filed under the name uncultured bacterium. RNAcentral's name for it is "bacterial SSU rRNA". It matches the Rfam family "Bacterial small subunit ribosomal RNA", at positions 28 to 776 of the family's 1533-position model. The record is from RNAcentral.